Molecule: long non-coding RNA, 1863 nt
Organism: Oreochromis aureus
Lineage: Eukaryota; Metazoa; Chordata; Actinopteri; Cichliformes; Cichlidae
Source: Ensembl
CACGGCAUGAUGACAUUGCUAUGUCAGCCUUUCCUUACUGGAACUUCUUUCAGCCACACUCAUUUCUUUAACUCUGUACAGGAAACUUGUUUCAUGUAAGUAUAAUCAGCUCUGCUGCUGCUCGGUGGUCUCCAUCCUUCUGUCCCAAAUGGCUUCUUUCAAAUUCUUCCUCUUUUUGUCUCUAAUCUCAGACUUAACAGCUUUUCAGCAGGAUGUUCAGGUGAAGCUUGGAGAUGACGUCACUCUCCAGUGUCAGGUUUCCACAGAUGAAAUAAUCUCAGUGCUGAAGUGGAGCAGAGCUGACCUGAACACAGACGGCUACGUCUACUUCUACAGGAACAAACGCUCCUAUGAAAACUACCAACAUCCAUCUUUUCAUGGUCGAGUGAAGCUGAGGGACCCGGAGAUGAAGGAUGGAGACGUUUCUCUGAUCCUGAAGAAAGUCACGUUUAAUGACACUGGGAUUUAUGAGUGUCACGUAGCAGUGAGGAACCCUGUGAGAAGUAAAAGAGUUCACACUGAGAUCAGUCGCUUCAUCAACCUCACAGUCACAGGUGAAACACAUGAAAGCGUGUCAGAGAAACGAGUCGUGGAAAGAGGAGACGCAGAUGAAAACAUGGAUGGUACUGAAAGGGUCGGAGCUCCAUCUCUUCAGGUUGUUGUUCCUGUUGUUGUUGUUGUUGUUGUUGUUGUUGUUGUUGUUGUUGCUCUUUUUGCCGUUGGUUUUGUGACACACCAACAAACUUGUCAACAUAAGAAGCAACGUCCAGUCAAGCUUCCUACUGAGGACUCAGAUGAAGGACUAUGAAGCUGCAGAAAUGUAUAAACUUUCUUGAUGAAAACUAAAGCACUGACAUUAACUCCUUUUAUAAAAUGUAUGUAUAUACAGAUCUUAAUAAAUUUGUUAGACCACAUCAUAAAAACAGAAAACACACACAGCAUUUUAAUACGAACUCAGUGAAUUUUAAAAAAUACUCUUCAGACUAAAUUUACAUUUUAAACUCAAACCUAAACCUGUACACUGUAAUUAUAUCAUAUAAAUAAUAAUAAUAAUUAUGUUUGCAUGAAAACAAUUUCUCAACAAAGAGAUUUCUGGUGGACAGAAACAUAUAAUAAAUGAUUUUAGUAAUCAAACUGCAGCACUUCACAUUAAACUCCAUCUUUCACAGCAGUGUCAGUUUUAUUAAUGUAGCAGAUUUUUGGAGUCUGUUACUGAAUGUUUGCACAGAUUUGACUGACCUCAGGUCAGCAUGCAGCUUGUUCACAAGAAUGGGACCACGGUCACUGAAUGCACCUUCAGCACAUUUACAUCUAAUACUGGGAACAGUUAAACAAUCUGAAGCCCUGACUGUAAAUCCAUUUAUAAACAAACUGCAGGCCAUGAUUUCUAGUCUACUUCUCCUUUUCUGGAUUGAGUCAGGAAGAAUUAACUUCCUUGUUUUCUUUUAUUUACUUUUAUUAAUGUGAAAUCAUUUAGGGAAAAAAGUUAUGCAGCAAUAGUUCAAUCAACAUCCAUAAUUAAGCACCAACCUUUAGUUUAAAAGGUUGCAGAGAUUUGAUUCAUUGUUUUCACACACAGAGUCCACACUUAAAUGAUCUUUGGGAUGUUCUGGAGAAGACUGUUUGAUUCUCCAGUUAUCAAUACUUUACAUAUAAUUACUGAAAUUUAUGCCUCAUCAAAUGUUUCCCUUCAUCAAAGUUAAAGGCAGUCUAUUGAAAGGUUGAAGGAGAGUGGGCAUGUCCAGAUUAUGUUAUAUUGCACAGCUGUUCCUGAUGUGCUGAUGGCAGCGUUGCUACACAGAAGUUUAAAUCAGGAAGUUCAAAGCAUUUCUGCAUCAACAGGAACUGUCUGAAUGAUUAAAC